CUGCGGGUUUGGAUUCUCUCGAACCCCGAUUGGGGGAAAGGAAAACGAAACGAAUCACUCGUUAUCGCCUUGCAGUCUCUGUCGGCUGAGGAACGGAGCUCCGGUGGCUCACAGCGUCGACGAGGUUUUGCUUUUGUUGCUUUGCUUUGUUGCUGUCCUUGUGAUCCUCGAUAAGCGGCCUAUGCGUCGCUGGCCAGACUUCCCGAGCAGAUCCUUCACUCUCGCUUCUUCUCCGGGCGGUCGAGAGAACGGCGAUUAUUUACCCCUCUGGAAAAUCAGACGUCGGUCGCUUUUCUCCCUUCUUAAGCAGAAACGGCUCUUUGCUGAUUCCACCUUCCGCUUCCUCUUCCCAUUCCGAGCAGAGUCCAAUGGAGCGAAGCGGCGAUCCCUCGAGUCGAUAUCCUCUUCUCCCCUAUCCUCGAGUAGCAUCGCCUCCGCCCUUCGAGCCGAACACCUCUUGUCCGGCUUCUCUUCUGUCCUUCGUCCAGUGCCGAGGUUGCAGCUUCGUUUCUGUCAACCGAGAGUGAGAAAAAUAGAGCGCAGUGUGAGAGUACCUAUGCGCUCAAGCAGUAACCUUUCAUGUUUCAACACCCCUCACUGAGCAAUAGUUUGGAUUAUUGGAGACUUUUGAAUUGUAAGCUUUGAGAUCAUGGGAUUCCGAGAGAAUUUAGACUUCUAUCUCAAAAUGUCACGAAAGGAGCUUCAACAAUUGUGUAAACAACAUGAUCUUCCUGCAAAUACGAGUCAUGCUAUAUUGGCCAACUCUUUGGCUUCACACUUUCAGAAAAGAAAUGCUGUUUUGGCAGAUUCACUGGAGAAAUCAGUUAAUUUUAUGGAUGGAUCUUCUAAGAAGCUAUUUGCAUCUGAACCAAUCACUAAAAAAACAGUUCCUUGCCCUGAUGAAUUAACCACAGGUAACAGGCGACUAUUCUGUCAGCUUGGUAGUAAGAGUGAAAUUAACGGUCCCACAGACAGUAUUAUGAAUGAGAAGCCAGAAACUGUAACAAAAGUGUUAUGCCCAUUAUGGCCUGUCAAUAGUAAAGAGCAGAAGUGUAUUCAGGGUGCUGUUCCAUGUGGACAUAGUAGACCUCAUGAAUACUCAAUGGAAAGUGGACUUGUUUCUGGCAAUGAAAUUUCUACCAGAAGUCCUCCAUUUCAAUUUUUUGUGAUGUCAGAAGGUGGAAUAGAUUUAUUCGUUGACUUGAAUUCUAGCCCACUGGAAUUGAUCAAUAGCUUAAAAGAAAAUGUCUGUGUUCAUCAGAAUACACAAUAUCAUGAGUCAAUGGCUCCUCCUGAAUAUAUCAGUAAUUCACCAGAAGUUGAUGAACAUAUGAAAAUUACACCAUCAGUUGACACUGGGAUGAACCUUAAUGGCAUUGAAGUUGAGAAGAACACUGGUUGUACAAAUUCAUCAUUGAGUUCUGUUGUCAGCGAGAACAGCAAUUCUGAGGCUUAUCCACCAGAUACCACUGCAGCAACAUCUGGAUCUUUUUUUUUAGUAUCAAACACUGUCCCAGUUGGAUCAUUGGGAUUUUUGGAGGAAAAUCAGGUAGUUUCAUCUUCCUGUGCAGCAUACACGGUGCAAAACCACUUGGCAUCCCACAUGGCAUCAUGCCCCCCUGAAGGGCAAGAGACUGCUAUUGUUUCAUUUGCAAUGGUCAGGAGUAAUGCAUCACUACCUGUCAUGCCUCUUCAAUCAGUUUCUAACAUGGACAAUGGGGUCAAUAAUCCUGUUACAGUUGGCGUCGAAGUUGAAACUCUAUAUGAUACAGUAUCUGAUGUUGCUGACAAAGAUAACCUUACAACAAGGAAAGAAAUAUCAGAUAAUAUAGACACACUUGACUAUGUCCAUCAAAAAAAUCAUAGGGGAGCAAGUGAGUCCUUUACCGGUUUUAAAAAUGAGCAGCCAGACAACACAACUUUUCAUGGGAGAUUGUCAAAUUCUUGUCAACAUAGUGGACAGAUGAUACUAGAUAGUCCAAUGGCUGAUGCACAAUCGGAAGUGGGGACAGCAGAUCUUCCUUUCUGUCGGCAAUCAUGCAGUAAUUGUGAAACUUUGGUUCCUGAGGAACCGAUAUCAAUGUCUCAAGAUGAAUCGAAGAAGAUAGUGGCUGUUUCCAUGUCUGUAAGCUAAAUUGUGCCUUUUGAAGCAGGGUCAUAGCACACCAAUGGGGGAAAAGGAUGCUUCAGAAUGCUCUAGAAUCCUAUCAACCUCAGCCAACACUAAGAGAUCUAACAACUUAGAGAAUCCCAAGGAGCCCCAUGUUAAGAGGCACCAUGUUUGUAGUGAAAUCAUGAGUGAGGAGACAGUCACAAAAUUGAGAAACAGUAGAAGUUCAGCAAAGAAAAUGUUGUCUGGUGCUAUUGUUCUGCCUAGGCGUUCCAUGAGGCUUGUUUCUAAGUAACCAGCUCUCUGUAUCAAAAACAUUGUACCUGUACUUUGCCAGAUAACACGCCAUUCAUCCUUGCUCUGAUGGACUUGCUUUCUAUUUAAGAACCGAAGAAAGCAACACUGAAUGAUUUAUACAGCACUUGCCCCUAUCAUCAAAAUGAUUUUAGGCCAGGAUGUUGUGUUGUAUAGUUUAGAAAUAAAACUCAAGUGCCAACAAGCUGCAACAUUGUAAUCUUAAGUUCGUUGAGUCGUGGCAUCUGAAAUUGGAUAUCCAUUUUAGCCUUUGAAGACUCUGUACCUUCGAAUGGCAAAAGAAACAUCUUCUGAAAUCAACGUCGCAUUCUUUGAAAUCUCAGAUUCUUCUGAUGGCGAAAGUCCCUGUAUCAUUGUGCUCAACAUUCAUACAUAUGGAUCAUAUACUUCAUCGACAAUGGGCAGCCUUGUUGCUUUUAUGUUCAUUGCUUGUAGUGUUGUGCGCACUCACUCUCUUUUUAAAUUACAGCCGUCAGUUGUUUCAUUC
RNA transcript from Zingiber officinale, 2912 nucleotides. RefSeq lists it as uncharacterized. Lineage: Eukaryota; Viridiplantae; Streptophyta; Magnoliopsida; Zingiberales; Zingiberaceae. The transcript has 10 exons. The record is from RefSeq and is a predicted model, not a curated record.